This 430-nucleotide ribosomal RNA is filed under the name uncultured archaeon. Its description in RNAcentral is "bacterial SSU rRNA". It matches the Rfam family "Archaeal small subunit ribosomal RNA", at positions 474 to 903 of the family's 1478-position model. The record is from RNAcentral.
UACCGGCAGCUCGAGUGAUGACCGAUUUUAUUGGGCCUAAAGCGUCCGUAGCUGGCCGCGUAGGUUCGUCGGGAAAUCCAUCCGCUCAACGGAUGGGCGUCCGGCGAAAACCACGUGGCUUGGGACCGGAAGGCUCGAGGGGUACGUCCGGGGUAGGAGUGAAAUCCCGUAAUCCUGGACGGACCGCCGAUGGCGAAAGCACCUCGAGAAGACGGAUCCGACAGUGAGGGACGAAAGCUGGGGUCUCGAACCGGAUUAGAUACCCGGGUAGUCCCAGCCGUAAACAAUGCCAAUUAGGUGUGGCACCGACUACGAGUCGGUGCUGUGCCGUAGGGAAGCCGAUAAAUUGGCCGCCUGGGAAGUACGUCCGCAAGGAUGAAACUUAAAGGAAUUGGCGGGGGAGCACUACAACCGGAGGAGCCUGCGGUUU